This 253-nucleotide ribosomal RNA is filed under the name uncultured bacterium. Its description in RNAcentral is "partial 16S ribosomal RNA". It matches the Rfam family "Bacterial small subunit ribosomal RNA", at positions 524 to 776 of the family's 1533-position model. The record is from RNAcentral.
UACGGAGGGGGCUAGCGUUGUUCGGAAUUACUGGGCGUAAAGCGCACGUAGGCGGCUUUGUAAGUUAAAGGUGAAAGCCCGGGGCUCAACUCCGGAAUUGCCUUUAAGACUGCAUCGCUCGAAUUGUGGAGAGGUAAGUGGAAUUCCGAGUGUAGAGGUGAAAUUCGUAGAUAUUCGGAAGAACACCAGUGGCGAAGGCGACUUACUGGACACAUAUUGACGCUGAGGUGCGAAAGCGUGGGGAGCAAACAGG